RNAcentral lists this ribosomal RNA (825 nucleotides) under Triticum aestivum (bread wheat). RNAcentral describes it as "partial small subunit ribosomal RNA". Lineage: Eukaryota; Viridiplantae; Streptophyta; Magnoliopsida; Poales; Poaceae. The record is from RNAcentral.
AUGUACCACAGGGUGCACUCGUUCGGUCCAAGAUCUCGCCCUGAACAUCUGCAGUUGUACUUCUACGAUGACGAUCCAAGCUUAAGCCAUCGCAAGGAGGCCACCAAGCAAUUGGACCAGCACGUUGUCAGCAAGUUAGUGGACGUCCUCAGGGAAAACCCCUACUCCCAACAGUUUAGGAGUUUGGGUGCCCACAAGGAAAACCUCGAGGAGUACCGGAUAGACCUCAACAUUGACCAGAAGCUAGACCAACGAAGAUAUAAUAGACCCGUGUCAUCCGAGGUGGCUGCGAUUUGGGUCGAGGGAAGCGAUCUAGCAAACAGGUUCAACCGCAGCAUUACACUCUAUGGGGACACCAACGAGAAGUAUAGUAUACAUGCCACAGAUGGCUGUUAUGACCCGCUCUCGUAUCCCCUCUUUUUUCCAAGGGGGGAGCUUGGUUGGCAUCCAAAUAUCCCUAAGCACAAUGUCCCUUGGGAGGUUGCACAACAACCAAGAGGAAACCGUGAUAACGAUUCAGGUGCGCCUGGUUGGUAUGCUUAUAUGCCAGAAAAAGUUCUCUGUCCUUCCAUAUGGUACCUAACCUUCUUCUUUCACGUCUUUCCACAGAGGGGAACAGCCGGUUGUGUGUCUCUGUCAGGGACUACUACUGUUACCGGCUACAGACGCGCCCUGCGAUAUUCAACCCCAUACUACUGUCAGGGACUAAUACAUGGACAAGGAACUAUGUAUCUGAUAAUUAAUGAAGAACCCAAGCUGAGUGAAGCCAUCAGUGAUCUCCUCAUAUCUCUACUAUCUCAACUAUUAAAGGAUGAGUUUUUCUAG